ACGACAGUGAACCCUGAGAUAAGACGACUGUGAACUCAGAGAAAAGACAACAGUGAACCCACGGAAAAGACAACAGUGAAUCCAAAGAAAAUGUAACAGUGAACCCAGAGAAAAGACAAAGGUGAACCCAGAGAAAAGAUGAUGGUUCACCCAGAGGAAAGACGACAGUUAACCCACAGAAAAUGCAACAGUGAACCCAGAGAAAAGAUGACAGUGAACUUAGAGAAAUGUUAAUGGUGAACUCUGAGAAAAGACGAUGUGGAACCCACAGAAAAGAUGAUGGUUCACUCAGAGAAAAGGCAACAGUGAACCCAGAGAAAAGACAGUGCACCCUGAGAAAAGACGACAGUGGACCCUGAGAAAAGCCUCAGAAAGCUAUCCAGGACAAAAUCCAUCCUGCAAUCAGAUGCCCCACAGUUAGUGACAUUUCUGACACUGGUGGAAGUUUCUUGUUCAUUUGAUCUUUGAUUUAUGCAAAGAUCUGGUUGUACCUGGAAGACGGGAAGAGUGGGGACCACAGUUCAUAACCAUUCUGAGGAAGUUUGCCUUUAUUCAUUUACUGCUACAUCCACACAGCUCACAGCAUGACAAAAUCUUGUCAAUGACCAAGGAUGACACUAGGAAGAUAAUGUAAUUUUCAAAUGUGGUUUUCCUGAAACCAAGUCAACUAUAGCUGAUAUGUUUCAUUUCAUUGAUUAAUGUUUACAUGGGAAAAACCAAUAUUAUACUUUACUGAACUUUGUGUAAUUGUUCCGAUUUUUUGAUAUCUGUUUGACUUACCAUGGGGUUGACAUAAUGAAUUUAUUGCACAUUGUUCAAAAGGAACCAGGAGGUUUUUGUCAGCACUGUAAUGUAAAUUCCUUUGCAGAUGGUAACUGUAGAUGGAAAAACUUUUGCUAUAAAAUGAAAUGCUUCCUUAAAUCAGACAUUUUGGUCAAGUAGCUUGACUCAGUACAGGUAGGGAGAUAUUUAAAUAUAAAAUACAAUGAAAGAAGCCUAAAUAUUUAGAAUCUUUGUUUAGAUCCUGUAAGUAACUAAUAAUCCAUAAGCAAUGCAAUAUUGCUCUAUUGGGUCCUUUUGACAUUUAUUUCAUCAUAUAGCUUUCCAUAUUGAAUAAAUUUACAGAUUUAAUUUAUAUAACUUGAACCUAUGAAGCAAUGGAUAUUUCUGCGGUUUAAUGUCUUGU
Molecule: long non-coding RNA, 1186 nt
Filed under: Homo sapiens (human)
Lineage: Eukaryota; Metazoa; Chordata; Mammalia; Primates; Hominidae
Description: HSALNT0116093
Source: RNAcentral